RNAcentral lists this non-coding RNA (83 nucleotides) under Paramoeba aestuarina. The record is from RNAcentral. Lineage: Eukaryota; Discosea; Flabellinia; Dactylopodida; Paramoebidae.
AGAGAAACAGAAAAAGAAACAAAAGAAGACAGAGAAAGAAAGGGUCUUUCUUCCACCCUCCAAAUUCUUUCAUUUUUCUUCUC